CCAGCCUCCUGGCGCUUUGUAUGGUGGCUGGAAGUGCUUGACAAAUCAUAGCACCAUCAAAUUUAUACAGUCGUCCCUAGGUGUCUGCAGGCCAUUGGUUGCAGAAUCCCUCUCUGAUACCAAAAUCCACUCAUUUCUCAGCCCUGAAGUCGGCCCUGUGAAACCUGUGGACACAAAAAGUUGGCCCUCCUUAUACACAAGUCCCGCAUCCCAAAUUUGAUUGUGGAUGCAGAACCCACAGAAACAGAGGGCCGACUGUAUUUAUUGAAAAAAAUCCACAUAUAAGUGAACCAGCACAACUCAAAUCCAUGUUGUUCAAAGGUCAACUGUAGGCCGGGCGCAGUGGCCCACGCCUGUAAUCACCACACUUUGGGAGGCUGAGGCAGGCCGAUCAACGGAGCAAGACUCUGUCUCAAAAAAAAAAAAAAGAAAA
Homo sapiens (human) is the source of this 433-nucleotide long non-coding RNA. NCBI's taxonomy places the organism in Eukaryota, Metazoa, Chordata, Mammalia, Primates, Hominidae. The record is from Ensembl.